RNAcentral lists this non-coding RNA (39 nucleotides) under Neotamlana nanhaiensis. RNAcentral describes it as "S4-Flavobacteria ribosomal protein leader". It matches the Rfam family "S4-Flavobacteria ribosomal protein leader". RNAcentral also lists the same sequence under 1 other name. Lineage: Bacteria; Pseudomonadati; Bacteroidota; Flavobacteriia; Flavobacteriales; Flavobacteriaceae. The record is from RNAcentral.
GUUUGUCGGAGGAUAAGAUUAAGACCUUAAUUCACAAAC